This 253-nucleotide ribosomal RNA is filed under the name uncultured bacterium. RNAcentral's name for it is "partial 16S ribosomal RNA". It matches the Rfam family "Bacterial small subunit ribosomal RNA", at positions 524 to 776 of the family's 1533-position model. The record is from RNAcentral.
UACGAAGGGGGCGAGCGUUGUUCGGAUUUACUGGGCGUAAAGGGCGCGCAGGCGGCCAUCCAAGUCAGGCGUGAAAGCCCCGGGCUUAACCUGGGAGGUGCGUCUGGGACUGGGUGGCUAGAGUUCGGGAGAGGAGAGUGGAAUUCCCAGUGUAGAGGUGAAAUUCGUAGAUAUUCGCAAGAACACCAGUGGCGAAGGCGGCUCACUGGCCCGGAACUGACGCUGAGACGCGAAGGCCAGGGGAGCAAACGGG